UGUCUUUCUCAACUGUUCCACCACAUCAUACUCACUCUGCUUCAUUAUUUGAAGCAACAGCUCCUCCUCUUCUUUAGGCCCGGCGGGUUCUACUUCCCCCAUUUUCUCAAUCUCCUCUUCUGUACUCUUCUAUAAUUCUCCCAUUUUUACUUUCCCUUUAUUCUUUUCUUUCUCUUCGUUCCCGUAACAUCUCCCACUUCGAGUUAUAAACUCG
RNAcentral lists this unclassified non-coding RNA (214 nucleotides) under Hevea brasiliensis (rubber tree). Lineage: Eukaryota; Viridiplantae; Streptophyta; Magnoliopsida; Malpighiales; Euphorbiaceae. The record is from RNAcentral.